This 564-nucleotide ribosomal RNA is filed under the name uncultured bacterium. RNAcentral describes it as "bacterial SSU rRNA". It matches the Rfam family "Bacterial small subunit ribosomal RNA", at positions 338 to 916 of the family's 1533-position model. The record is from RNAcentral.
CCUACGGGAGGCAGCAGUGGGGAAUUUUCCGCAAUGGGCGAAAGCCUGACGGAGCAACGCCGCGUGAGGGAUGAAGGCCUCUGGGCUGUAAACCUCUUUUAUCAAGGAAGAAGAUCUGACGGUACUUGAUGAAUAAGCCACGGCUAAUUCCGUGCCAGCAGCCGCGGUAAUACGGGAGUGGCAAGCGUUAUCCGGAAUUAUUGGGCGUAAAGCGUCCGCAGGCGGUCUUGUAAGCCUGUCGUUAAAGCGUGGAGCUCAACUCCAUUUCGGCGGUGGAAACUACAAGACUAGAGUGUGGUAGGGGCAGAGGGAAUUCCCGGUGUAGCGGUGAAAUGCGUAGAUAUCGGGAAGAACACCAGUGGCGAAGGCGCUCUGCUGGGCCAUAACUGACGCUCAUGGACGAAAGCUAGGGGAGCGAAAGGGAUUAGAUACCCCUGUAGUCCUAGCCGUAAACGAUGAACACUAGGUGUCGGGGGAAUCGACCCCCUCGGUGUCGUAGCUAACGCGUUAAGUGUUCCGCCUGGGGAGUACGCACGCAAGUGUGAAACUCAAAUGAAUUGACGG